Molecule: ribosomal RNA, 423 nt
Filed under: uncultured prokaryote
Description: bacterial SSU rRNA
Rfam family: Bacterial small subunit ribosomal RNA
Source: RNAcentral
UAACGGAUCUUCCGCAAUGCGCGAAAGCGUGACGGAGCAAUGCCGCGUGUAGGAUGAAGCCCCUCGGGGUGUAAACUACUGUCAGGACUCAGGAAUUCUGACCAAGUCCAAAGGAAGGGCCGGCUAACUUCGUGCCAGCAGCCGCGGUAAUACGAAGGGCCCGAGCGUUGUGCGGAUUCACUGGGCUUAAAGGGUGCGUAGGCGGACGUGUAAGUGUGUUGUGAAAGCCCACGGCUCAACCGUGGAACUGCAGCGCAUACUGCACGUCUUGAGGUCGGUAGGGGCUGUCGGAACUCUAGGUGUAGCGGUGAAAUGCGUAGAUAUCUAGAGGAACACCAAUGGCGAAGGCAGACAGCUGGGCCGAUUCUGACGCUGAGGCACGAAAGCGUGGGGAGCAAACAGGAUUAGAUACCCCCGUAGUCC